This 468-nucleotide ribosomal RNA is filed under the name uncultured bacterium. Its description in RNAcentral is "partial 16S ribosomal RNA". It matches the Rfam family "Bacterial small subunit ribosomal RNA", at positions 28 to 507 of the family's 1533-position model. The record is from RNAcentral.
GACGAACGCUGGCGGCGUGCUUAACACAUGCAAGUCGAACGGAAAGGCCCUGCUUUUGUGGGGUGCUCGAGUGUCGAACGGGUGAGUAACACGUGAGUAACCUGCCCUUGACUUUGGGAUAACUUCAGGAAACUGGGGCUAAUACCGGAUAGGAGCUCCUGCUGCAUGGUGGGGGUUGGAAAGUUUCGGCGGUUGGGGAUGGACUCGCGGCUUAUCAGCUUGUUGGUGGGGUAGUGGCUUACCAAGGCUUUGACGGGUAGCCGGCCUGAGAGGGUGACCGGCCACAUUGGGACUGAGAUACGGCCCAGACUCCUACGGGAGGCAGCAGUGGGGAAUAUUGCACAAUGGGCGGAAGCCUGAUGCAGCAACGCCGCGUGCGGGAUGACGGCCUUCGGGUUGUAAACCGCUUUCGCCUGUGACGAAGCGUGAGUGACGGUAAUGGGUAAAGAAGCACCGGCUAACUACGUG